Molecule: long non-coding RNA, 1702 nt
Organism: Thalassophryne amazonica
Lineage: Eukaryota; Metazoa; Chordata; Actinopteri; Batrachoidiformes; Batrachoididae
Exons: 3
Source: RefSeq, a predicted model, not a curated record
ACACUGUGACAAGGUAUUCUAGGCUUCUGUGACUGGAGAAAUUGGGCAUAGUGGACCUUUUAGUUGUUGCAUCACCAGUCAGAGCUUCAUGUUGGAGUGGGGCAGAGAAUGAUUUUCUUAAAAAGAUGCCAUUAAAUUUGAGCUACAUUUUUACCAGAAGGCAUGUGGGAGUCUCAAGCCUAGAUUUGAUGUUUCCUUGAUUUUAAGCCCUUUUUUGUUCUGAGUUUGACAUUUUGAUGACAGACAAAAGUAGCGCUAUGCAUAGUCUUGCUAAUAACAUCUACAGAAGCCUAUAACUUUUUCAAGUUGUCACGGUUCUCUUGGUGGCUUCCCUCACUAGUUUUGUCCUUGUGCAGUAGCUCAGUUUUUGCGAACUGUCUGCAUCAGACACAUUUAUCUUACAGUACCGUACUAUCUGUACUUAAUUAAUGAUGAUAAUCAAAUCUAAGACAUUCACUGACAUGAAAAUGUUCACAUCCAUCCCCGUAUUUGGAAAAUGAAACUUGUAUAUGUAAUAACAUGACAUGUAAUAAAUUAGAAUUUUGCAAAACUGGUUAAAUUGCAUUUACUUCUGAAUACAUUUUCUAUUCUUAAAAUUCAGGGUUGCCAACAAUUCUGAUCUGGACUGUUUGUGUGUGCAGUCACAACCCAUCUGUUAACUAUUUGAUACCAGGACUGAGACCAAAUAGUUUUCUAAGACUCUUCAGUCUCGUUUAAUGUGUAAUUCAAACACGUUGCUGCAGUGAGACUCACAAGCACUUUUUUAAAGCUAUUUUUUAUUGUGUUCCUUCAGUUUGUUUGUAUCAAUACUAUAAAAAUGUCUUCCUCUCUGGGACCCAGUAUCUUUCAAAUAUGUUGCCAGUUGUUAUCGCUUUAGCUGUGGCUCAGGGUCACUCAGAUUGUGUGUAACAACCGUUAACUAAAGGAUAUUACUGUAGACUGUUUGGACGUCAUUGCUUUGGAUUUAAUUUUGCAUUUGGAAACGUAAAUCCUACAUGAGUCCCCAGAAAGGAAUGCAUGUCUCACAACCCACAAAGAAAUAACUUGGCUGUGGAUCUUGAACUCUACCACUCUUUGAAUGCACCACUGUUAAAUAAAUGUGCCAUUUUUUUUUUUAAGUAGAUGACUGUGCAGUAGGUCAGCUCAGUUACUCGCAUUUUACUUCUUAACAACUGAAAAUAUAACUGGAGCACAUUAAGUUGAACUAAGUGCAUGUAAUGGUCUUUAAGAACGAUACACAUUAGUGCUCAGUGGUGAAAGCUUUCCAGGAAUUAUACCAACUACACUUACACCACGUGUGGGCAGGUUACCGCAGUUAGCAACCUCUUUAAUGUGGCACAUGGGUAGUGAGAUGUGCCACGUCAAAUAAAAAAAAAAAAAAAAAAAAACCCUGUGUAGGAAUUCCAGCAAUUCCUGGAAGGCCUUCAUGGCUGCUUCUACAGUGCAAACACAUUUCAAACUGACAUUGGUUGAAAGGCCUUUUCUCAGAGUUCAUGUAGCACCUGAAACAUUGAGUUGAUAUGUUUGGGGUUUUGUGUGUAAAUUAUAGCUUUAUUUUAGUUCAGACCACUGACUAAACACUAUUUCUUUGUGUGUAGAAGGGAAUCAUUCACAUUUCAGAGGCACUAUGGCCCAUGUCAAUAUUUUCAAUAAUGUGUCACUUAACAUGGAGUUGUACAGGUUCCAGCAGGGUGCUGCCCAC